AACGAACGCUGGCGGCAUGCCUAACACAUGCAAGUCGAACGAGACCUUCGGGUCUAGUGGCGCACGGGUGCGUAACGCGUGGGAACCUGCCCUUAGGUUCGGAAUAACUCCCCGAAAGGGGUGCUAAUACCGGAUAAUGUCUUCGGACCAAAGAUUUAUCGCCUUUGGAUGGGCCCGCGUUGGGUUAGCUAGUUGGUAGGGUAAAAGCCUACCAAGGCGACGAUCCAUAGCUGGUCUGAGAGGAUGAUCAGCCACACUGGGACUGAGACACGGCCCAGACUCCUACGGGAGGCAGCAGUGGGGAAUAUUGGACAAUGGGCGAAAGCCUGAUCCAGCAAUGCCGCGUGAGUGAUGAAGGCCUGAGGGUUGUAAAGCUCUUUUACCCGGGAUGAUAAUGACAGUACCGGGAGAAUAAGCUCCGGCUAACUCCGUG
Molecule: ribosomal RNA, 433 nt
Filed under: uncultured bacterium
Lineage: Bacteria
Description: partial 16S ribosomal RNA
Rfam family: Bacterial small subunit ribosomal RNA
Source: RNAcentral